This 460-nucleotide ribosomal RNA is filed under the name uncultured bacterium. RNAcentral's name for it is "partial 16S ribosomal RNA". It matches the Rfam family "Bacterial small subunit ribosomal RNA", at positions 338 to 795 of the family's 1533-position model. The record is from RNAcentral.
CCUACGGGGGGCAGCAGUGAGGAAUAUUGGUCAAUGGACGAGAGUCUGAACCAGCCAAGUAGCGUGAAGGAUGACUGCCCUAUGGGUUGUAAACUUCUUUUAUAUGGGAAUAAAAUGUUCCACGUGUGGGAUUUUGUAUGUACCAUAUGAAUAAGGAUCGGCUAACUCCGUGCCAGCAGCCGCGGGAAUACGGAGGCUCCGAGCGUUAUCCGGAUUUAUUGGGUUUAAAGGGAGCGUAGGUGGAUUGUUAAGUCAGUUGUGAAAGUUUGGGGCUCAACCGUAAAAUUGCAGUUGAAACUGGCAGUCUUGAGGACAGUAGAGGUGGGCGGAAUUCGUGGUGUAGCGGUGAAAUGCUUAGAUAUCACGAAGAACUCCGAUUGCGAAGGCAGUUCACUGGACUGCAACUGACACUGAGGCUCGAAAGUGUGGGUAUCAAACAGGAUUAGAUACCCCAGUAGUC